Long non-coding RNA from Oncorhynchus tshawytscha (Chinook salmon), 730 nucleotides. RefSeq lists it as uncharacterized. The record is from RefSeq and is a predicted model, not a curated record. NCBI's taxonomy places the organism in Eukaryota, Metazoa, Chordata, Actinopteri, Salmoniformes, Salmonidae. The transcript is spliced from 3 exons.
CCUCUCUCUCUCUUACUCACACACGAAUACACAAUCUUCCACACACGCUGCCUCUCGGUCUGUAUUGGAAGACAGCGCAGCACAUGCAGUAAUUCCCGACACUUAAUUGAUUAGCCCAGGCUGCUUAUUUGAAGUGGCUAAUUAGAGGGGGAGUGUGUCGAGUGUGUGAGGAGGGCUGCGGAGUCGCUAGCGCUCUUUAUCUCCGUGCGCGUGUGUCUGUCUGAGGAGCUCCAGUACCACGCUUCACUCUGGAGCAGGAGGAGGAGGAGAGAAGAAGAAGAAGAAGAAGAAGAAGAAAAGAGAUAGAGAGGCAGCUGGGUGGUGAGAUUUUCACUACACUUUCCCUCAUCUGAUAUGGCCUCCGCGUAGGAAUCUGGUGCCACGGCAACAGAGGAGCUAGGCAGCAGCGAGGUGUCUAAGGUGUGAGGAGAGAGAGAGUGCUGGAGAGAGGACAGGAGAGAGAGAACGAGAGAAUGAUGGCGGCGGAGGAGGAGAAGCGGGUUUGAAGAGCAGCAGCUCCAUAGUUCCCUGCUUCUUGUUUGUUGAGCUGGUGAUCAUGGCAGGGACGGUUCUCCUGGCGUACUACUUUGAGUACACAGACACGUUCCCCGUGCACAUCCAGGGCUUCUUCUGCUACGACAAGACGUUCUCCAAGCCCUACCCCGGCCCGGAUGAAACCAGCAAGAUACCCCCACUGCUGGUCUACUCACUGGUUACAGGCAUCCCAUGC